CCUGAAGGAAGGUGUCCCAGAGCUUGGGGGCAAGGUUGGGAAAGGGGUCGCUCUGUGGGGGCAGCGGCACGGGCUUUGGAGCCCGACAGACACGGGUUAGAGCCCUGGUUCCUGCCACCUCCUGCCAGUGGGGCCCUGAGAGAUGAGAAAAAGGAGACCUAGAGAGGGUAGCUACCUGUGAGUGUCUGAUUCAAGACCCCUGCCCUGGACCACCCUGCUCUUCGGCUGCUGCCCCCGAGGAGGACGGCUGGGAGACACGAUGGGGCGGGUGAGAUGAAAGUACAGGACAGAUUUCAAGAGGUUCAAAGACAAAGGGUUUUUCAAGCUGACUUUGGCAUCCUCCAUGUGGUUCACAAAGCAGACGGUUCCUACAGCUUUGAUGGACAGGCGAGUUGAAGGGUCCA
Phyllostomus hastatus (greater spear-nosed bat) is the source of this 404-nucleotide long non-coding RNA. RefSeq lists it as uncharacterized. The record is from RefSeq and is a predicted model, not a curated record. The transcript is spliced from 3 exons. NCBI's taxonomy places the organism in Eukaryota, Metazoa, Chordata, Mammalia, Chiroptera, Phyllostomidae.